CAGUCGCCGCGGUAAUACGUAGGUGGCAAGCGUUGUCCGGAAUUAUUGGGCGUAAAGGGCUCGCAGGCGGUUUCUUAAGUCUGAUGUGAAAGCCCCCGGCUCAACCGGGGAGGGUCAUUGGAAACUGGGAAACUUGAGUGCAGAAGAGGAGAGUGGAAUUCCACGUGUAGCGGUGAAAUGCGUAGAGAUGUGGAGGAACACCAGUGGCGAAGGCGACUCUCUGGUCUGUAACUGACGCUGAGGAGCGAAAGCGUGGGGAGCGAACAGGAUUAGAUACCCCAGUAGUCCCUGUCUCUUUACA
RNAcentral lists this ribosomal RNA (301 nucleotides) under uncultured bacterium. RNAcentral describes it as "partial 16S ribosomal RNA". It matches the Rfam family "Bacterial small subunit ribosomal RNA", at positions 509 to 808 of the family's 1533-position model. The record is from RNAcentral.